CUGAAUAUUUUGGUAGCUCCAGAGGAAAGAGAAGCAGCUGAUCGAAGUGGUGCAAGCUAGGGAUGACACAUGAGACCAGGUUUUCUGAGUGACGGACAACUAACCUGCAAUUACUGCGACCAGACAACCCCAACAAACUAGCCUGUAAUCACCACUAUCAACCAAAGCGGGAUGGGGGGGUGAAAGAGUCCUGAGAGGAACCUGGUCUGCCCCCGCCCCCUGUUUGCCCACCACCCCCUGAGACCAAAGGAGGGUUGCGAAAGAAACCACUGAAUACAUGUUCUCUGCUAUAAAACAUUCCCGUUCAGUGAUGGUCCUCAGCUCAUCUUGCAUGUAAAUCAGAGUUUUGUAUGCUUGAUGACCACAGCAACAGUCAUGUGACAGGAGAGCACAUGGCUGGAGGAGUUAGCACCACGGAGGAAACUGAAAUUGGAAGAAAUCG
Long non-coding RNA from Epinephelus lanceolatus (giant grouper), 442 nucleotides. RefSeq lists it as uncharacterized. The record is from RefSeq and is a predicted model, not a curated record. Lineage: Eukaryota; Metazoa; Chordata; Actinopteri; Perciformes; Serranidae.